GUGUGGUGGUUCAGGGGUAGAGCACUCGCCUAGCAAGUGUGAGGCACUGAGUUCAACCCUCAGAACCACAUA
This 72-nucleotide transfer RNA is filed under the name Marmota monax (woodchuck). RNAcentral's name for it is "tRNA.Ala". It matches the Rfam family "tRNA". Rfam says of the family: Transfer RNA (tRNA) molecules are approximately 80 nucleotides in length. Their secondary structure includes four short double-helical elements and three loops (D, anti-codon, and T loops). The record is from RNAcentral. Lineage: Eukaryota; Metazoa; Chordata; Mammalia; Rodentia; Sciuridae.